CAGCCCACGGUAAUACAGAGGGUGCGAGCGUUAAUCGGAUUUACUGGGCGUAAAGCGUGCGUAGGCGGCUUUUUAAGUCGGAUGUGAAAUCCCUGAGCUUAACUUAGGAAUUGCAUUCGAUACUGGGAAGCUAGAGUAUGGGAGAGGAUGGUAGAAUUCCAGGUGUAGCGGUGAAAUGCGUAGAGAUCUGGAGGAAUACCGAUGGCGAAGGCAGCCAUCUGGCCUAAUACUGACGCUGAGGUACGAAAGCAUGGGGAGCAAACAGGAUUAGAUACCCGAGUAGUCCCUGUCUCUUAUACAC
RNAcentral lists this ribosomal RNA (301 nucleotides) under uncultured bacterium. RNAcentral describes it as "partial 16S ribosomal RNA". It matches the Rfam family "Bacterial small subunit ribosomal RNA", at positions 509 to 809 of the family's 1533-position model. The record is from RNAcentral.